AACGAACGCUGGCGGCAGGCCUAACACAUGCAAGUCGAGCGAGAUCUUCGGGUCUAGCGGCGGACGGGUGAGUAACGCGUGGGAAUAUGCCUCUUGGUACGGAAUAGCCUCGGGAAACUGGGAGUAAUACCGUAUGUGCCCUUUGGGGGAAAGAUUUAUCGCCAAGAGAUUAGCCCGCGUUGGAUUAGGUAGUUGGUGGGGUAAUGGCCUACCAAGCCGACGAUCCAUAGCUGGUUUGAGAGGAUGAUCAGCCACACUGUGACUGAGACACGGCCCAGACUCCUACGGGAGGCAGCAGUGGGGAAUCUUAGACAAUGGGGGCAACCCUGAUCGAGCCAUGCCGCGUGAGUGAUGAAGGCCUUAGGGUUGUAAAGCUCUUUCAGCUGGGAAGAUAAUGACGGUACCAGCAGAAGAAGCCCCGGCUAACUCCGUG
This 433-nucleotide ribosomal RNA is filed under the name uncultured bacterium. Its description in RNAcentral is "partial 16S ribosomal RNA". It matches the Rfam family "Bacterial small subunit ribosomal RNA", at positions 29 to 507 of the family's 1533-position model. The record is from RNAcentral.